RNAcentral lists this ribosomal RNA (443 nucleotides) under uncultured bacterium. RNAcentral's name for it is "partial 16S ribosomal RNA". It matches the Rfam family "Bacterial small subunit ribosomal RNA", at positions 338 to 795 of the family's 1533-position model. The record is from RNAcentral.
CCUACGGGCGGCAGCAGUGGGGAAUAUUGGGCAAUGGGCGCAAGCCUGACCCAGCAACGCCGCGUGAAGGAAGAAGGCUUUCGGGUUGUAAACUUCUUUUCUCAGGGACGAAGAAAGUGACGGUACCUGAGGAAUAAGCCACGACUAACUACGUGCCAGCAGCCGCGGUAAUACGUAGGUGGCAAGCGUUAUCCGGAUUUACUGGGUGUAAAGGGCGUGUAGGCGGGACUGCAAGUCAGAGGUGAAACCCACGGGCUCAACCUGUGGCCUGCAUUUGAAACUGUAGGUCUUGAGUACUGGAGAGGCAGAUGGAAUUCCUAGUGUAGCGGUGAAAUGCGUAGAGAUUAGGAGGAACACCAGUGGCGAAGGCGGUCUGCUGGACAGCAACUGACGCUGAGGCGCGAAAGCGUGGGGAGCAAACAGGAUUAGAUACCCCAGUAGUC